RNAcentral lists this ribosomal RNA (253 nucleotides) under uncultured bacterium. RNAcentral describes it as "partial 16S ribosomal RNA". It matches the Rfam family "Bacterial small subunit ribosomal RNA", at positions 524 to 776 of the family's 1533-position model. The record is from RNAcentral.
UACGGGGGGGGCAAGCGUUGUUCGGAAUUAUUGGGCGUAAAGGGUGCGUAGGCGGUUUGAUAAGUCACAUGUGAAAUCUUCGGGCUCAACCCGAAGUCUGCAUGCGAAACUGUCGGGCUUGAGUAUGGGAGAGGUGAGUGGAAUUUCCGGUGUAGCGGUGAAAUGCGUAGAUAUCGGAAGGAACACCUGUGGCGAAAGCGGCUCACUGGACCACAACUGACGCUGAGGCGCGAAAGCUAGGGGAGCAAACAGG